CAGCGAUUUGCCCUGCUAGCGAUUUGCCCUGCUGUGUGUGAAACUGCGCAUGCGCUUAGAUAAGCAGGGGAAAUCGCUGUACUAAUCACAGCGAUUUACUCUGUUUCAGCGAUUUGCCCUGGCUACGCGGCAAGCUACGUACGCCCAGGCAUCGCAGGGUAGAUCGCUGCAGUGUGAUUGCAGGGAUUUGCUCUGUUUUAGCGAUUUGCCCUGAUGACUGAUUUGUUGUACACAGUUUUUGCUCGUCUCGGAAAGGGUGGAGUAUACGAGUAUCAUCUCUACCUCUAGACGUCCAAACUCCUAAUAUUGCAAACUAAGCGUGAGACGUUCCAUAAGUUUAUGGGUGUUUACAAGUUUCUACUUGUCUAUUCAGCUGCAGCAACAACAACAACAAACAACAACAACAAACAACAACAACAAAGCAGCACAACUUCAAGGCUGCAGCAGGGAACUGUUCUAGAUAGAUAGAUGUGUUGAAUAUUUCUAAUGUUUGUUUUAAAUCAAUUAUAAAUUGAAUUCUACUAUGUACUCCUGUUUAUCUUCCGUGCAAGAGUAAUUUUGCAGACUGACACGUUGUAUAGUCAUCUAAUUUGUAAGUUAUUCAAAGUCACAACGUUGUACUUGGUAAUAAGUGUACCAUCUAGUUUGAAUGAGCGAGCUUGACGGCUAAAUGAGCACUUCUGGUUUGAUGUCAGGGUU
Corticium candelabrum is the source of this 699-nucleotide long non-coding RNA. RefSeq lists it as uncharacterized. The record is from RefSeq and is a predicted model, not a curated record. NCBI's taxonomy places the organism in Eukaryota, Metazoa, Porifera, Homoscleromorpha, Homosclerophorida, Plakinidae. The transcript is spliced from 3 exons.